RNAcentral lists this ribosomal RNA (920 nucleotides) under uncultured bacterium. RNAcentral's name for it is "bacterial SSU rRNA". It matches the Rfam family "Bacterial small subunit ribosomal RNA", at positions 33 to 948 of the family's 1533-position model. The record is from RNAcentral.
ACGCUAGCUACAGGCUUAACACAUGCAAGUCGAGGGGCAGCAUGUUGGUUGCUUGCAACCAAUGAUGGCGACCGGCGCACGGGUGAGUAACGCGUAUCCAACCUACCCAAUACUCAGGCAUAACCCGUUGAAAGACGGACUAAUUCCUGAUGGUAUGUAUUUUUCUCAUGAAUUAUACAUUAAAGAAUUUCGGUAUUGGAUGGGGAUGCGUCUGAUUAGUUUGUUGGUGAGGUAACGGCUCACCAAGACAUCGAUCAGUAGGGGUUCUGAGAGGAAGGUCCCCCACAUUGGAACUGAGACACGGUCCAAACUCCUACGGGAGGCAGCAGUGAGGAAUAUUGGUCAAUGGAUGCAAAUCUGAACCAGCCAAGUAGCGUGCAGGAUGACGGCCCUAUGGGUUGCAAACUGCUUUUAUGUGAGAAUAAAGUUAGGUAUGUAUACUUAUUUGCAUGUAUCACAUGAAUAAGGACCGGCUAAUUCCGUGCCAGCGGCCGCGGUAAUACGGAAGGUCCAGGCGUUAUCCGGAUUUAUUGGGUUUAAAGGGUGCGUAGGCCGUUUGAUAAGCGUGCUGUGAAAUAUAGUGGCUCAACCUCUAUCGUGCAGUGCGAACUGUCGAACUUGAGUGCGUAGUAGGUAGGCGGAAUUCGUGGUGUAGCGGUGAAAUGCUUAGAUAUCACGAAGAACUCCGAUUGCGAAGGCAGCUUACCGUAACGUUACUGACGCUUAAGCACGAAGGUGCGGGUAUCGAACAGGAUUAGAUACCCUGGUAGUCCGCACAGUAAACGAUGGAUGCUCGCUGUUGGCCUUUGUGGUCAGUGGCUUAGCGAAAGCGUUAAGCAUCCCACCUGGGGAGUACGCCGGCAACGGUGAACUCAAAGGAAUUGACGGGGGCCCGCACAAGCGGAGGAACAUGUGGUUUA